This 1097-nucleotide ribosomal RNA is filed under the name Rhamphoria delicatula. RNAcentral's name for it is "partial large subunit ribosomal RNA". It matches the Rfam family "Eukaryotic large subunit ribosomal RNA", at positions 82 to 1214 of the family's 3401-position model. Lineage: Eukaryota; Fungi; Ascomycota; Sordariomycetes; Rhamphoriaceae. The record is from RNAcentral.
AGUAACGGCGAGUGAAGCGGCAACAGCUCAAAUUUGAAAUCUGGCCUCGGCCCGAGUUGUAAUUUGCAGAGGAUGCUUUUGGCGAGGCGCCUUCCGAGUUCCCUGGAACGGGACGCCAGAGAGGGUGAGAGCCCCGUAUGGUUGGACGCCGAGCCUCUGUAAAGCUCCUUCGACGAGUCGAGUAGUUUGGGAAUGCUGCUCAAAAUAGGAGGUAAAUUUCUUCUAAAGCUAAAUACAGGCCAAAGACCGAUAGCGCACAAGUAGAGUGAUCGAAAGAUGAAAAGCACUUUGAAAAGAGGGUUAAACAGUACGUGAAAUUGUUGAAAGGGAAGCGCUCAUGACCAGACUUGUGCCCUGUGGAUAAGCCAGCGUUCUCGCUGGUGUUUCCGCUCGGCUCAGGCCAGCAUCGGUUCUCUUGGGGGGACAAAAGCCCUGGGAACGUGGCUCCUCCGGGAGUGUUAUAGCCCACCGCACAAUAUCCCCAGGGGGACCGAGGACCGCGCUUCGGCAAGGAUGCUGGCGUAAUGGUCAUCAGCGACCCGUCUUGAAACACGGACCAAGGAGUCAAGCAUUAGGGCGAGUGUUUGGGUGUAAAACCCGCACGCGUAAUGAAAGUGAAUGCAGGUGAGAGCUUCGGCGCAUCAUCGACCGAUCCUGAUGUACUCGGAUGGAUUUGAGUAAGAGCCUUACCGCUUGGACCCGAAAGUUGAUGAACUAUGCCUGUAUAGGGUGAAGCCAGAGGAAACUCUGGUGGAGGCUCGCAGCGGUUCUGACGUGCAAAUCGAUCGUCAAAUAUAGGCAUGGGGGCGAAAGACUAAUCGAAUCAACUAGUAGCUGGUUACCGCCGAAGUUUCCCUCAGGAUAGCAGUGUUGUUUUCAGUUUUAUGAGGUAAAGCGAAUGAUUAGGGACUCGGGGGCGCUAUUUAGCCUUCAUCCAUUCUCAAACUUUAAAUAUGUAAGAAGCCCUUGUUACUUUACUGAACGUGGGCCUUCGAAUGUAUCAACACUAGUGGGCCAUUUUUGGUAAGCAGAACUGGCGAUGCGGGAUGAACCGAACGCGGGGUUAAGGUGCCGGAGUGGACGCUCAUCAGACACCA